RNAcentral lists this ribosomal RNA (253 nucleotides) under uncultured bacterium. RNAcentral's name for it is "partial 16S ribosomal RNA". It matches the Rfam family "Bacterial small subunit ribosomal RNA", at positions 524 to 776 of the family's 1533-position model. The record is from RNAcentral.
UACGUAGGAUCCAAGCGUUAUCCGGAUUUACUGGGCGUAAAGCGCGUGUAGGUGGUUUGUUAAGUUGGGUGUUAAAUCUCUCGGCUCAACUGAGAGGUGUCGCUCAAAACUAGCAGACUGGAGGACGGUAGAGGAAGGUGGAAUUCCGGGUGUAGUGGUGAAAUGCGUAGAUAUUCGGAGGAACACCAGUGGCGAAGGCGGCUCACUGGCUCGAUACUGACGCUGAGGUGCGAAAGCGUGGGGAGCAAACAGG